UCCUGACUGACCGAUAGUGAACCAGUACCGUGAGGGAAAGGCGAAAAGAACCCCGGCGAGGGGAGUGAAAAAGAACCUGAAACCGUGUACGUACAAGCAGUGGGAGCACGCUUAGGCGUGUGACUGCGUACCUUUUGUAUAAUGGGUCAGCGACUUAUAUUCUGUAGCAAGGUUAACCGAAUAGGGGAGCCGAAGGGAAACCGAGUCUUAACUGGGCGUUAAGUUGCAGGGUAUAGACCCGAAACCCGGUGAUCUAGCCAUGGGCAGGUUGAAGGUUGGGUAACACUAACUGGAGGACCGAACCGACUAAUGUUGAAAAAUUAGCGGAUGACUUGUGGCUGGGGGUGAAAGGCCAAUCAAACCGGGAGAUAGCUGGUUCUCCCCGAAAGCUAUUUAGGUAGCGCCUCGUGAAUUCAUCUCCGGGGGUAGAGCACUGUUUCGGCAAGGGGGUCAUCCCGACUUACCAACCCGAUGCAAACUGCGAAUACCGGAGAAUGUUAUCACGGGAGACACACGGCGGGUGCUAACGUCCGUCGUGAAGAGGGAAACAACCCAGACCGCCAGCUAAGGUCCCAAAGUCAUGGUUAAGUGGGAAACGAUGUGGGAAGGCCCAGACAGCCAGGAUGUUGGCUUAGAAGCAGCCAUCAUUUAAAGAAAGCGUAAUAGCUCACUGGUCGAGUCGGCCUGCGCGGAAGAUGUAACGGGGCUAAACCAUGCACCGAAGCUGCGGCAGCGACGCUUAUGCGUUGUUGGGUAGGGGAGCGUUCUGUAAGCCUGCGAAGGUGUGCUGUGAGGCAUGCUGGAGGUAUCAGAAGUGCGAAUGCUGACAUAAGUAACGAUAAAGCGGGUGAAAAGCCCGCUCGCCGGAAGACCAAGGGUUCCUGUCCAACGUUAAUCGGGGCAGGGUGAGUCGACCCCUAAGGCGAGGCCGAAAGGCGUAGUCGAUGGGAAACAGGUUAAUAUUCCUGUACUUGGUGUUACUGCGAAGGGGGGACGGAGAA
RNAcentral lists this ribosomal RNA (1001 nucleotides) under Shigella sonnei. Its description in RNAcentral is "partial 23S ribosomal RNA". It matches the Rfam family "Bacterial large subunit ribosomal RNA", at positions 474 to 1479 of the family's 2925-position model. The record is from RNAcentral. Lineage: Bacteria; Pseudomonadati; Pseudomonadota; Gammaproteobacteria; Enterobacterales; Enterobacteriaceae.